CGAACGCUGGCGGCGUGCUUAACACAUGCAAGUCGAACGCUGAAGCUCAGCUUUUGUUGGGUGGAUGAGUGGCGAACGGGUGAGUAACACGUGAGUAACCUGCCCCCUUCUUUGGGAUAACGCCCGGAAACGGGUGCUAAUACUGGAUAUUCACUGGUCUUCGCAUGGGGGUUGGUGGAAAGGGUUUUUCUGGUGGGGGAUGGGCUCGCGGCCUAUCAGCUUGUUGGUGGGGUGAUGGCCUACCAAGGCUUUGACGGGUAGCCGGCCUGAGAGGGUGACCGGUCACAUUGGGACUGAGAUACGGCCCAGACUCCUACGGGAGGCAGCAGUGGGGAAUAUUGCACAAUGGGCGCAAGCCUGAUGCAGCGACGCCGCGUGAGGGAUGGAGGCCUUCGGGUUGUGAACCUCUUUCGCUCAUGGUCAAGCCGCAACAAUGGUUGUGGUGAGGGUAGUGGGUAAAGAAGCGCCGGCUAACUACGUG
Molecule: ribosomal RNA, 481 nt
Filed under: uncultured bacterium
Lineage: Bacteria
Description: partial 16S ribosomal RNA
Rfam family: Bacterial small subunit ribosomal RNA
Source: RNAcentral